Molecule: non-coding RNA, 90 nt
Organism: Aspergillus transmontanensis
Lineage: Eukaryota; Fungi; Ascomycota; Eurotiomycetes; Eurotiales; Aspergillaceae
Source: the annotation of a GenBank genome assembly
CCCCUGAUGGCCUAGUUGGAUAUGUCGUCUGACUGCAAUGGGAAUAUACCACUAUUAUAAGAAGAUCGCUGGCUAUUCCGGCUCCGGGGA